RNAcentral lists this long non-coding RNA (7643 nucleotides) under Cinara cedri. The record is from RNAcentral. Lineage: Eukaryota; Metazoa; Arthropoda; Insecta; Hemiptera; Aphididae.
AGAUUGAAUUUAGAGACACUCAAUUUUGGGUAUGAAGAUGUUACAUCAACACCAAUGACAGCUAAGCGAAUGAGAAAAUGGUCCAGUUCGAGUGCUGGAAGUGAAUCACCUAGUCCAGCUCAAAGUGGUAAGAAAGGGAAAAUACCAAUUUGAACUCUAAUAAUAAUUUUAAAUAUGUUAUUUUUAGUUGCUGGAAAAAAGUGUUCUGAACGUCCAACACGUUAUGACACAUCUUUAGGUUUAUUGACUAAAAAAUUUAUUGGUCUUCUUGAAGAUUCUACUGAUGGUGUUGUUGAUUUAAAUAUAGCAUCAGAAAAAUUGGAUGUACAAAAACGAAGAAUAUAUGAUAUUACCAAUGUUUUAGAAGGUAUAGGAAUUUUAGAAAAGAAAUCAAAAAAUAAUAUUCAAUGGAAGUAAGUUAUUAGAAUUUUAACCGUUUAUAAAUAAUUUAUUAUCAUAUUAUGGUAUUAUUAUGGUUUAGAGGUGGAAAUGUAUAUGGAUCAGACAAAAAUAAUGUUCAACAGGAUAUAGACAAAAUGAAAGCCAAAGAAGAAGAAUUAGAUAAUUUAAUUUCAAAUACUGGUAUGAUUUUAUAAUUUAAUAUAUUUUUUUUUCUCAGUGUAUUGGUCUCUGUAUGACCUGUGCUGCCAUAAGUAAUCUUCUAACUUUCCCUGUUGACACAUAUCCACCAUCCAGGUGCCCUUCUGUGUAGAGAAAAUACUGUAAUAUCUUUCCAUCUCUUACACAAUCUAUGUUUUUUGGUAUAUAUAUUUUUUUUAUCUUUGCAACUUUUCUGCCAACCAUUUUGCUCCAACUUUUAAUAAUAGCAAUGUUUCUUCUAAAAAAUAAUUUCACUAGUAAGGUACUUUAUUAGAGAGGUAAUUUUUCGAUUUCCUCAAGUUUUUCUAGCAAAUGUGAAAACAGAAAACUGGGAAAAUUGUACAUAUUAUUAAAGAAAAUAUAUAAAGUCUAUUUAAUUACUUUACUAUUAAAUGACAUAUAUACUAUAUUGAUGACAAAGCAUCACUAUCAACUGAACUCAUAAUAGUUUUUUUUGUAAGUAAUGGUUUUUCGUUGCUUACUGGUACACAUUAAAUUACCUAUAACAGUGGCUGCACCAAUCUCCAUUAUCCUAUGACGUCUUUUAUUAUUUAUGUUCACUCUCAAAUACUUAAACUGUUCCAUUUUUUCAUAUGUGAAAUGUCUAUUUGUAAAUUAAAUUGAUUUCCACUUCUGGUGAGAACCAUAGAUAUAAUUUAUUCUUCGUUAAUAUGUUGCUCCAUCUUUUCACUGAUUGUCAAGAGUUUAAAAAACAUUGUCCAAAUAAAAUUUUGUCUGAUAUUGCUUAAAAUUUUAAUAUCCUUUAUGUAUGUAUGUGCUAAUAUGUUUCUUUUGCAGCCACAUACAUUUGUUAUGUAUGCUUUAGUUAUUUUAAAAUCUUUUCAAGGCUUAGGUUUAAAGGAGUUAGGGAAACAAGGCAUUUUUUUGUUGUAAAAAUCUGUUUUAUUAUAUUCUGCUUUAGUUUUUAUAGUGCGUUGUUCAUGUGUUUCUUACAAAUGGUAAUGUGUUGUUGUUUAUUAUGAAUCCUAUUCCAUAUUCUUUAGUUCUACGACAACUAGAAUAUAUUCACAUCAAAAAGUUUGAUUUCCUCCUACAUUUGUUCAUCUAAUCUCUUGUAUAGCUACUAUUUCACACAGAUAUCUCUAAAGUGCAUAUAUUAUUGUCGGCAUUACAUUUACUAUGUACAUUAGACGUACAUUUUAUGUUCCUAAAUUAAACUUUGGCUAUUUAUUUUUCAUUUGAGGUUUUGUAAUGUUUUGUUUUGGAACCUAAUUGUUUUUAUAAGUUAGGUAGUUAGUCCUACAUCUAUCCUCAUUAAUGAAGUCUUCACUUCUUUACUGGAAUAGUAGAGGGCUAUUGCAAUGUUGUUUCCAACACUGAGGGAUUAUAGCGUCACUUCCCUACGCCCAUUCCUACUAAAGUUGUCUGCCUAGGAUUUUUUGCCAGUAACUAUCCUCCAAUAGGAGCUCCAUGCUCUGGAUUCACACCCAUAAUAUAAAAAACUUCUCUUAAGGAGUUUUAUCAUAUUUAUGUAUUUAUUCAUUAUCCUAAAAAAAAGAAUUGAUUCUUUUCAUAACUCUUUCCUAUUUAUACUAUGUAAGCUUAUUUAUAAUCAAAGAAUAACAUAUAUUAUUUAGUAUGAAAAUGUUCUCUGUAGUUGACCUCCCUUUUCUGAAACCUUAUUAUUUGAUACUGCCAUAAAAAAAUGUCGACAUGUGGAGUUUAAAGGAUUGUUCAUAACACGUGUUUAUUAAUAAUUACCAAAAGAAUUUAUUAUGUUUGAUCAUUUUCCAUGUUUUAUUCUUCUUUACGGCUUCUUCCCUGUUCAUUAAUAAUUCUACUAUUGCUUUUGCCUGGGGUCUUAUUAUUCUUUAAUUUAUUUAUGAUAUUGUAGACUCUAGAUUUUAAGGAACUAUUAAUAUAAUAUGUUUCUAUCAUAUAUUAAGAAUAUGAAUAAAUAGUUCUAUUUAUAUAUAUUUUAAUAAAACAAUCAAUUAGAUUAGUUUAUUUCCAAUGUAAAAAGAAGAUAAUAACAUUAUUACAAAGAAAAAGUUUUCAUUAAUAUCUACUGAUAAUGAUUUUUUUUUUAUCAAUAAUUUUACUUACAGAACGAGAUCUUAAGCAAUUAACAGAAGAUAAAAGAUAUGGAUAUGUAACUUAUCAAGACAUUAGGUCUAUUGACUCGUUUAGAGAAAAGACUGUUUUGGUUGUCAAAGCACCUCCUGAAACUGAAUUACAAGUACCUCAAGAUCACAUUGACGGAGAAGUAAAUAUACCUAAAUGAUAUUCAGUAUUUAUGAGUAAUGAGCGUGAAGUCAAAAUGAGAAAAAUUACCCCUAAAUUCAAGAUUCUGGAUAAAUUUGUGUUUUUUUUUUUUUUUUUAAUUGAAAUAUUCAAUUUAGUAGUAGUUAUGGCUAUUUUAUGUUUAUACAUUAUAUAUAUUUGGUUUUAUAUCAUUUGGUAUAAUUCUGGUGUAAAAAAAAAAAAAAAAAAAAAAAAAAAAAAAAAAAAACUAGAUCUUCAGUAUGAUUUUUUGAGGGGUAUACAAUUUAGAAUAGUGACUAUGAUUUAGUUUGAAGUCUGAAUGAAAAAACUCUUUUUACUGGCAGUUUCAAUUAUCUGUACAUAUAGUUUGAUUCCCAUUUUCUCACUGACCUUGAUUUGAUUAACAUUCCAUUGUAUGAAUAAGUCUUCUAUUCUGCUUAGUAGGUUUUUAUUCAGUUUUGUAUCUGCAUUAUGUUCAGUAAUAAAGUAUUAUGAAUAUUAUUAAAUUUAUGUAAUGAACUUAAGAAGACAUUAUACCCCUAUCUACUGUCUCAGUCACAAUAUUAGUCUCCGUACUAUAUUUUAGAGAGAAUGUCUAGUGUUUUUUGAAUUAUGAACUAUUUUAAAGAGUAAAAAAAUUAAGGUUUUUUUUUGUCUUUUAUAUCAAGCUGUAUAUUUUGAAUAAUUCAAAAACCAUAUGACAUUCCCUGCAAAAUAUUGUUCUUUGUAAAUUUCAUAAUAGGUACUUUACUCAAAAAUCAAAAUUAAGAUAGUUUUAUUUAUUCUGUGUAAGCAUUUUUUUUGUAUAUUACCCGGUAAUUGGACUGAGACAGUAGAAACAAAAAAAUUUGUCUGAAAGUUAUUUGUUAUAGAAUGUGCAAUCUAUAUAUAUAUAUAUACAGGGCGUAAUCCCACAAGGAUUCAACAAAUGCAAUAACUUUUGCUCUAUUCAAUAUUUUUGAUGUAUAUUUUUUUAAAUAAUUAGUAUACCUCAGUUCUAUAGUUUAUAUAUAUAUGAACCUUUUUUUUAAAAAAAAGAAGGGGGGGACUUAAAAUAAAAAAACUCAAAAUAGCCAUUUUGUAAAAUAGAUUUUUAGAAAAAUUUUGGUAGUUGAAACUUUUGUUAAAUUAUGGUCUUUUAUUUUCUACAAUUUUUUGAAGUUUUGUUAAUGUGAAUAUUACAAUAUUUUAUCAGUUAUUGGUCAGGGCACAUGACAAGGAUUUUCUUUUCCAUGAGUUUUUAUCAUGCAAUAAUAUUAUCAUAUAGGUAAUAAGUGGUAUAAAUCAAUUAAUAAUAGUAAUUUUAUGGUAUUUAUUAAUUAAUUAAUUUAAUAGUUGUUAAAAAAGAAAUUUUCAACAAAUCUUAGAAAAUUAAAGACCAUACUUCAACAAAUGUUUCAACUACCAAACAUUUUCUUUAAAUCUAUUUUACAAAAUUAUUAUUUUGAAUUUUGUAAAGAAAUUUAGUAAUUUUUUUUAUUUGAAGUCCCCCCCUCUCUAAAAUAAAUGUUCAUAUAUUAACUAUAGCGCUGAGGUAUAUUAGUUAUUUAAAAAAAAAAAUAUUGAAUAGAACAAAAGUAAUUUAAUUUAUUUUAGUCUCAUAUGCUAAUUUGAGAACAAUACAAUUUUCUAAAAAGUGAUAUUAUAAUUAUAACAAGGUAGAAUUAUAUUCAUCAUCACACUUAAAUGUGGACUUUCAACUGUUAAAUAUGGUAACAACCAUUCUCUGAUAAAGUUGGUCAUCUGUUCUAGUUAGGUAGGUGGUUAUGUUUGGCUGCUAUAAGUACCCCCACCUAACCCACCUAUGUUUUAUUUAAAUUCUGAUACUAAUUUAUUGUGACUUACCAUAUUUUUGAUUCUGAUGAAUUCCUAUGUUUGUUUAGCUUUUUUUUUAAGUAUUCAUUUGAUCUUUAUGUUAAACCAAAGUUAAGUCAAUAAAUUAUUUUACCUUUACAAUUUCUCUAUAUGUUUUAUAAUUUGAUUUUGUGGUUGACACCAAUUGAUAUUCCAAUAUAAUAAAUCCUUUAAAUGUAUUGGUAUAUUAUAUUUAGGACUUAAUUAGGACUACAAAUAAUAUGCUUCAAGAUUAUUUUUCGAAUAAUAAUGCAUUUUGAAACUUAAUUCCAUAUAAAUGCAUUCAUAUUAUAUAAAAAAAAAUAAAUAAUAAUUGCAUAUUAUACUGGAUAUUUAAGCUUUUCUUAGUGUAUAAGGUUCUGAGUCUUGAACUAAUAAGUUGAAAAAUAAUUAUAAGCUCAUAUAGUUUUAUCAGUUUUAAAAUUUAUGAAAAUUAACUGAUUUCCAUGGUAGAGAUUCCUGCUCAUCCUUAGUAUUAAAUUUGUAUACUUUAUAAUACUUCAUUUUUUUUCUCCCCAUAGCAAAAGAUGUAUAUGAAAACUAACACAGGAGAAAUUGAAGUAUUUCUAUGUCCAGAAUACAAUACCAAUACAGUUGCACAACCGCAAAGUCAGUUAAGGCCGCCGUAUACAUCUCAGGUUGGUAUCGCUUAUGAAUUAUUUUUGGAUUUCACAAUUUGAUUAAAAAUAUUUUUGUUUUAGAAUGUCAAUAAUUCAUUGAUAGGCAACAAUACAGUUAUCAAAUCUCCCCAAAAAUCUUCUGUUAUUCAACAGUCACCAACAUAUUCAUCACAUAAGUACAAAAUGGGAACUAUCAAAUCAGAAAAUGAAGAGAACACAACAACAGAUAGAUGUAAAGAAAAGCCGUUAAACGAACAGCAGUAUAUGCCCAGUACAAGUGGUUCCGGUAUGCAAAUUAUUACACAUAUACCGCGUUUCAUUUUAAAUACACAUCUUGGUUUGCAUGAUGCUUGCAUGAUGUCCAUGAAAUUUCAAAAUAUUACUUUUACUUGUUUAUAAAUUCUUCAAUUUCUUUCUAUUUUCUAUUUUUGUUUUGUUUUUAACUAAUAUUUAUUUAAUCUUCUUAUAACUAGUUCUUAUCUAUUUAGUUUCCAUAAUUUAUUUUACUAUUGAUCCUUUAUUACAAAACAAUAUUUUGCAUGAUAGAUACUUGAUUCAAAAUGUAUGAUUAAUUUAAUUUAUACAUCUAGAUUCUAGUGUAUCUAGUAGUAAAUUUGUUUUGCCUUAAUUUUCAUUUUUCUAAUGAUAACCUUUCAUAAGUUAAUAUUACUAUUAUUAAAUUAUGUUAUUACCCUCUGUAACAUUUAUUAAAUCUGAUAGUUUCAACAUUUUGAAUAUGAUAUAUUUAAUAGAAAUUUUAAAUACUUAUUUUUUUGUAUGUUCUUAUGGGAUUAUAACAUUUCAUCUUGAUAAUAGUCUAUUAUAUAUGGUUGAAUUUCAUUAACUGCUUUUAAAUAAAAUGAUAAGGUAUACAAAAUAUUGCUAUUAACUCUAAGUGAAUAUAAUAUACAUUCAAAUUUCAAUUUAAUAAAUUAUCUCUCAUGUAUUUUUUUAUUUUUUAGAUUAAGUAUUAAUAUUUAAUUAUGUAAUUUUAUUUUACUGUUAUCUAAAUCCAACAUUAGCACAAUUAUAAUUUUUUAAGUAAAGUUCAUUACAUAAAGUACAUUUGCUACUAUUCAGAAUUCUUUUCAAUCUUCUCACAUUUUUAAUUACAAAUAUUGAGAGCUACAUCAUAAUCUAUUACAUUAUUAUUAUUUUAUAAUUUUUUUUUUUUAUAACUUUGAUUCAUCAAAGAAUCAAAUAAAUUUCAACAAAAACAUAAUAUUGUUAAUCUGAAUGUCUGUUUUAAACUCAAUUAUGUUCUUGUGGUUAAUGUAAAAAAAACUUCAUUGAUACUAUGAAAGUAAUAAAAUUAUUAUUUAGUUGAACAACAAUUAUUAGUAUUAUUAUUGUUAUUAUUAUUAUAUAUAUAUAUAUAUAUAUAUAUAUAUAUUUUUAUUUUUAUUUUUAUUUUUAUUUUUAUUUUUUUGCUUUAUUUGUUUGUCGUAUAACAUUGUCUUGUAUUAUAUACAUUUUGCUUUUAUGAUAUAAUAAUAUUAUAAUCUUAUAAAAAUUAACUGAAAAGUAUGAAUAGCAAAAUUAUUAAAAUAUUUUGUUUUGUUUUACUGCUCCAUAUUAUCCGGAAAUAAUUUUUGAAAAAAAACUUGCAAUUGCUUCGGUUUUACUGCUGUUGAGUGUAAAACAGUCAUGUCGGUUGUCCGCUGAAUUUUACGAGUGCCUCAUGUAAUGUAUCUCUUUUAGCACCAUUGAAUUCAGCUGUCGCCUGGUGUGUGGUCUGCUUUUGCCUUAUGUACAAUCAGUGCUUCUUCAUUUACCACAUAUCUUAUCACAAUAUUAUUAUGUAGUAUGUAAAUAUUGUAUUAUUUUAAAUUAAAAUACAAAUGGUUCAUACGGAUCUUUUUAUUUUUCAAAAGUUGUGCAGUGUAGCUAAUGAAUUUUUAACAAUUAUUAACAUUAAAUUCUUCAGUUCUAUUCAUAUAUUUGAUAUUGAUUUUUUUUUUCAUCAUAUAUAUAUAUAUAUAUAUAUUAAAGAAAUUUACUAUUCUAUAGUAUAAGAAUCAUAGAAAUUUUAUUAUUUACUUAAAUAUUGAUUUCACUAGUCUUGCUUCUUUCUUUAACGCAUGUUGUCUAGUUAUUUUUUUAUUGAGUAAGUUUGGUUUUCAUUAAAACCUAGUGUGAAUUUAUUAUAUUUGUAUUUUUUUUUUUAGUCAAAGAUACAUUUGAAAUAUCUUGUGAACCUUUCUUGAUGCUGGAGCCACCAAAUGAAGACGACUACAACUACUGUUUAGAUUCUGAUGAGGGUCUUGGUGACCUGUUUGGCUUUAGAUUAUAAGUCUGCUCUGAUAGUAAUAAUUUUUAUUAUAUAUAAUUACUAUAUGUAUA